This is a long non-coding RNA of Asparagus officinalis (garden asparagus), 1750 nucleotides long. RefSeq lists it as uncharacterized. Lineage: Eukaryota; Viridiplantae; Streptophyta; Magnoliopsida; Asparagales; Asparagaceae. The record is from RefSeq and is a predicted model, not a curated record. The transcript has 2 exons.
UCAGUGUGGAGAAAGAUUUAUUGUUAAUUUACAAUUUGUACCUUUUUAGUACAAUUUCAUCUUUACUUUGUGAGAGUUUCUUAUAGCCCAUAGCUAAAACACCCCUAUCCCAGAGACGAGGGCCUCAAAUAUUUGCUUUGAAGAGUACUUAGAUAUGCAGAUGUCUAUCUGACAACUCAAUUCACAGAUAUUGACUUGUUCUAUUCUUAUUUCAGCUGUUCUCUGUGAUCCUUUUGCUCCUUCGAUCGAGUUACCAUUCAUCUACUUCGGUCUUGUACCAAAGUGGUAUUGAAUUUUCUUCUGGAGCUUCAGUAUGGAUUCCUUAGAAGGGAAAUAUACCACCAAAUUAUAUAGCUAUACCAUCCCAAACGAAAACUAAAGCCAAUAUUUGAAGGUAAAAACAAAAGUCUGGCAAGAAAGUUGAAGUCAGAGUUUGGGGAGGGGAUUUUGGUUGCAUGGUGAUAUGUGUUUUCCUGCAUCAUUGUCCAUCUCAUUUGAUUGGAUGAAUUCUUCCAUUGUUUAAAAAUAUGUAAAAGUUUUACAUAUUUUCGUUAAAAAGGAACAAAAGUUAAAAGAGUUUGAAACGCUUCUUUGAUAAUCGCAUUUCAUUGUUGAAAUGCAAGGGAGAAGGGGAAAAAAGAAAAUUAUAAAACAGUAAAUCACCAGAGACGAUGGUGGUGUAUUGCUGAACUACUUGUAGUGCUGUUUCAUUGAAAUGGAGAGAAAUUAAUAGGGAUUGAAAGUAAUUUCUCAGAGAAGCAUAUGCAUAUAUGAAUUAUAUUUCAAUUAGUUCAGGCCAAUUUUCUAUUGGGUUUAAUUUGCGAUAGUGUUUAUUGUGAGUUAGAGUUAGUGCUAGUUUACACCAGAAAUUCUCAUCACUGCCUGUGAGGAACUCAUUUGGCAACAAAAGCAGUUAGUAGUACUAUAUAUAGUACUAAUUAAAAAAAAAGUACUAUAGUAGAUGUGAUCAGCCUUAUUAAUGAUGUUGUUGAAUUAUCCUUUCACUCAAUAUCCAUCCUCAUGAAACAAUAGUUCGGUAGAUUCUUACACUUGAUUUAUCAAAUCAAAACCUUCUUAUUUCUUUAGAGGAGAUACAAGUUUGUUUCUCUCUUCUUGGGUUGUUCUUUGAUAUGUUACUUUUAUUCGCUUGUUCAGCUUUUUUGCUUCGCACUGAAGCGAUAAGUAACUAUAUUUCAUUAGGGGGAAAAAAUGUGGAAGAAGACCACCCUCUCAUGUCCUAAUGUCAUGGUUUCUCGAUUACUUUCUGAUAUUCUGUAAGUUAAUACUUGAUGCACGAUUGCUAAUUAAACAUUAUAUUAUGAAGCCUAACUUCCACUAUAAUACAAUAACUUUAAGUUUUCUCUCCAAUUUUUUAGUUAUUUGCUUGCAAAUCAUUAGUUCUUGACUUGUCAAAUAUUCUCUUAACUUACUAUUUGCCUGGCGUUUUCGAGCUAGAUUCACCAUUAUACUAUAGCUCACAGUACCAGAACAACAAUGUAGUUGUCUGAUCUUAUGCUGCUGAUGAACCUUGACCUCUUACGGCAAUCUUUACCCGUGUGUCAGUAAGUAAUCUUGCUGCUACACCAGCACUAUCAAUCUCCACAUGAAUUCAACCACUGUCCAUUAUGUAAUGAGUACGAAUGGUUAGAUACUUCUGAUUUGAUUUUUCAUUUUUGAUGUUUGAUUUUGUGCAUUUAGAAUUGUCCAUGAGAGCUGGUUAGUUCUGAUUUGAUUUUUGAUGUUUGAUUUU